Molecule: long non-coding RNA, 345 nt
Filed under: Monodelphis domestica (gray short-tailed opossum)
Lineage: Eukaryota; Metazoa; Chordata; Mammalia; Didelphimorphia; Didelphidae
Description: lncRNA (ENSMODG00000051395.1)
Source: RNAcentral
GGACAAUACUCCCAGGGCCUUGUAAAGGAUGUGGAUGGUCAUUUUGGGAUUCCCCCAGAGCUGCCCCUGGAGGUGAAGCCAAAACUUGCCUCCAUCUUGGUUUAAUUGUGACCUCUGAGAGGAGGAGUCCAUUUGGCAACCUUGUGGAGAGUUGGAAGACUCACCGACCCAGCAGCCGUUUUCAGAGAGCUCUUUCAAGAAGGAAAAAGAGACCCAGAAAGAUCAGCACAAGAUUGUAUAAGUAGAACAAUGACAGAACUUGAGAUGCAAAACCCAGUGUCUGAGAUCCCAGUGCCUCCAGGAUAUAUUACCCCCGUAUGCACGUAUGGAGGAUGGAAUAUGAUC